RNAcentral lists this long non-coding RNA (716 nucleotides) under Vitis vinifera (wine grape). RNAcentral's name for it is "long non-coding RNA (VVIN_LNC002395)". Lineage: Eukaryota; Viridiplantae; Streptophyta; Magnoliopsida; Vitales; Vitaceae. The record is from RNAcentral.
AAGCUUUCACGAGUUCCAGGUGAGUCCCUUUCGAGUUUAAUACGUUUCUUUCUCUCGGUAUCUGGCAUCAUUUCUUUGUUGACCCAUGGGUAAUAUUUUAUCAAUCUUGUUGUGGACAUCUCGGAUUAUUUGGUUUUGAGUUUGAAUGUAGUAGGCUGCAUGUACACGCCCCGUCUUUGUUUUCUCCUGUAAAUAGUUGGCCCUCCAUUUUAGUUUGUUUAAUGCUUGAGGGUUGUAUCGAGUUUGUUCAUCCUAUUUGAGCCUUUGAUGAGUUUUGUGAGGUUCUACAAAGAUCUCCAAGCCAUCGCCGACGCUUGUAGCGAUGACCCCCGCACCUCCGGCGUCGCGGGCGGUCCUAGCUCCGGCGGCCAUGGCGCCCUUGCUGGGGAGCUCCUUAUUGAAGACAAUGCCCAGGUGGGGCAUUUAGUCUUGAUAGGCUUGAGGGUUAAUGGGCUAGGGUUGCUAGUUUGGGCUUGGUGGAGAUGGAGCCCAAAGUUUUUUUUUUUUUAAUGAUGGACUUGGGCUUAUGAUAGAGAUGGGGCCCAAAGCCCCAUUAUUAUUAUUAUUAUGCUAGUUUGGGCUGGGUCGAGAUGGAGCCCAGAGCUCUUUUUAAUGUUGGACGUGGGCUUAGGCUUAUGGAUUGAGCUCUUUUAAUGUUGGACGUGGGCUUGGGCUUAUGGACUUGGGUUUAUGAUAUCAUCAUUAUUAAUUAUUAU